RNAcentral lists this ribosomal RNA (1434 nucleotides) under Microbacterium sp. RNAcentral's name for it is "bacterial SSU rRNA". It matches the Rfam family "Bacterial small subunit ribosomal RNA". The record is from RNAcentral. Lineage: Bacteria; Bacillati; Actinomycetota; Actinomycetes; Micrococcales; Microbacteriaceae.
GGGAGCGGGCGCCGCUGCUUACACAUGCAAGUCGAACGGUGAAGCAGAGCUUGCUCUGUGGAUCAGUGGCGAACGGGUGAGUAACACGUGAGCAAUCUGCCCCUGACUCUGGGAUAAGCGCUGGAAACGGCGUCUAAUACCGGAUACGAGCUGCGACCGCAUGGUCAGUAGCUGGAAAGAAUUUCGGUCAGGGAUGAGCUCGCGGCCUAUCAGCUUGUUGGUGAGGUAAUGGCUCACCAAGGCGUCGACGGGUAGCCGGCCUGAGAGGGUGACCGGCCACACUGGGACUGAGACACGGCCCAGACUCCUACGGGAGGCAGCAGUGGGGAAUAUUGCACAAUGGGCGCAAGCCUGAUGCAGCAACGCCGCGUGAGGGAUGACGGCCUUCGGGUUGUAAACCUCUUUUAGCAGGGAAGAAGCGAAAGUGACGGUACCUGCAGAAAAAGCGCCGGCUAACUACGUGCCAGCAGCCGCGGUAAUACGUAGGGCGCAAGCGUUAUCCGGAAUUAUUGGGCGUAAAGAGCUCGUAGGCGGUCUGUCGCGUCUGCUGUGAAAACCCGAGGCUCAACCUCGGGCCUGCAGUGGGUACGGGCAGACUAGAGUGCGGUAGGGGAGAUUGGAAUUCCUGGUGUAGCGGUGGAAUGCGCAGAUAUCAGGAGGAACACCGAUGGCGAAGGCAGAUCUCUGGGCCGUAACUGACGCUGAGGAGCGAAAGGGUGGGGAGCAAACAGGCUUAGAUACCCUGGUAGUCCACCCCGUAAACGUUGGGAACUAGUUGUGGGAUCCAUUCCACGGAUUCCGUGACGCAGCUAACGCAUUAAGUUCCCCGCCUGGGGAGUACGGCCGCAAGGCUAAAACUCAAAGGAAUUGACGGGGACCCGCACAAGCGGCGGAGCAUGCGGAUUAAUUCGAUGCAACGCGAAGAACCUUACCAAGGCUUGACAUAUAGAGGAAACGUCUGGAAACAGUCGCCCCGCAAGGUCUCUAUACAGGUGGUGCAUGGUUGUCGUCAGCUCGUGUCGUGAGAUGUUGGGUUAAGUCCCGCAACGAGCGCAACCCUCGUUCUAUGUUGCCAGCACGUAAUGGUGGGAACUCAUGGGAUACUGCCGGGGUCAACUCGGAGGAAGGUGGGGAUGACGUCAAAUCAUCAUGCCCCUUAUGUCUUGGGCUUCACGCAUGCUACAAUGGCCGGUACAAAGGGCUGCAAUACCGUGAGGUGGAGCGAAUCCCAAAAAGCCGGUCCCAGUUCGGAUUGAGGUCUGCAACUCGACCUCAUGAAGUCGGAGUCGCUAGUAAUCGCAGAUCAGCAACGCUGCGGUGAAUACGUUCCCGGGUCUUGUACACACCGCCCGUCAAGUCAUGAAAGUCGGUAACACCUGAAGCCGGUGGCCCAACCCUUGUGGAGGGAGCCGUCGAAGGUGGAUUCCAUUUUCC